GAAAAAUAAAAAUUUAAAUUUUAAAAUCUAGAAAAUUCAAAUUAAAAUACUACAAUAUUUAAUUUAAUACAAAAUUUACUUAUAAAAUAAUUAUUUAAAAAUUCGAGAUGUUACAAUUUAAUGCAAAGUUCAUAUAUUAAAUCUAUGAUGAACCAAACUUAGUAUAGCUAUACUUGCUAGUUUAUUGGAGAUGGCUUUAAAGAAGUUGAUCGAUGUUCUAGAUAGGAGUAUUUGGUUUCAGUUUAGUUCGGGAUUUGUCUAGGAAUCAGAACCGAAUCGAAAUUUUCCGGUUUGAUUUUUCAUUGUUUCGGUUUUAGUUUGGUAUAGUUCUUGGUUCUUCUGUUCUGUUCGGAAUGAUUCCAGUUCGGUUCUCGGUUCUUAAAAUA
This 386-nucleotide unclassified non-coding RNA is filed under the name Hevea brasiliensis (rubber tree). Lineage: Eukaryota; Viridiplantae; Streptophyta; Magnoliopsida; Malpighiales; Euphorbiaceae. The record is from RNAcentral.